UGGGGAAUAUUGGACAAUGGGCGAAAGCCUGAUCCAGCCAUGCCGCGUGUGUGAAGAAGGUCUUCGGAUUGUAAAGCACUUUAAGUUGGGAGGAAGGGCAGUUAGCGAAUACCUUGCUGUUUUGACGUUACCGACAGAAUAAGCACCGGCUAACUCUGUGCCAGCAGCCGCGGUAAUACAGAGGGUGCAAGCGUUAAUCGGAAUUACUGGGCGUAAAGCGCGCGUAGGUGGUUCGUUAAGUUGAAUGUGAAAGCCCCGGGCUCAACCUGGGAACUGCAUCCAAAACUGGCGAGCUAGAGUAGGGCAGAGGGUGGUGGAAUUUCCUGUGUAGCGGUGAAAUGCGUAGAUAUAGGAAGGAACACCAGUGGCGAAGGCGACCACCUGGGCUCAUACUGACACUGAGGUGCGAAAGCGUGGGGAGCAAACAGG
Molecule: ribosomal RNA, 429 nt
Filed under: Pseudomonadota bacterium
Lineage: Bacteria; Pseudomonadati; Pseudomonadota
Description: Proteobacteria bacterium partial 16S ribosomal RNA
Rfam family: Bacterial small subunit ribosomal RNA
Source: RNAcentral